This 73-nucleotide transfer RNA is filed under the name Diaphorina citri (Asian citrus psyllid). It matches the Rfam family "tRNA". Rfam says of the family: Transfer RNA (tRNA) molecules are approximately 80 nucleotides in length. Their secondary structure includes four short double-helical elements and three loops (D, anti-codon, and T loops). Further hydrogen bonds mediate the characteristic L-shaped molecular structure. tRNAs have two regions of fundamental functional importance: the anti-codon, which is responsible for specific mRNA codon recognition, and the 3' end, to which the tRNAs corresponding amino acid is attached (by aminoacyl-tRNA synthetases). tRNAs cope with the degeneracy of the genetic code in two manners: having more than one tRNA (with a specific anti-codon) for a particular amino acid; and 'wobble' base-pairing, i.e. permitting non-standard base-pairing at the 3rd anti-codon position. The record is from Rfam by way of RNAcentral. Lineage: Eukaryota; Metazoa; Arthropoda; Insecta; Hemiptera; Psyllidae.
GUCUAGGUAGUUUCAAGGGUAGCGCGUCUGUCUUGUAAGCACUAGGUCGCGGGUUCGAUUCCCGCCCAGGGCG